AAACCAACAGGGAUUGCCCUAGUAACGGCGAGUGAAGCGGCAACAGCUCAAAUUUGAAAGCUGGCCUUCGGGUCCGCAUUGUAAUUUGUAGAGGAUGCUUUGGGUGAAACGCCAGUCUAAGUUCCUUGGAACAGGACGUCAUAGAGGGUGAGAAUCCCGUAUGUGACUGGAAAUGUUAACCUAUGUAAAGCUCCUUCGACGAGUCGAGUUGUUUGGGAAUGCAGCUCUAAAUGGGAGGUAAAUUUCUUCUAAAGCUAAAUAUUGGCGAGAGACCGAUAGCGCACAAGUAGAGUGAUCGAAAGAUGAAAAGCACUUUGGAAAGAGAGUUAAAAAGCACGUGAAAUUGUUGAAAGGGAAGCGCUUGCAAUCAGACUUGUUUAAACUGUUCGGCCGGUCUUCUGACCGGUUUACUCAGUUUGGACAGGCCAGCAUCAGUUUCGGCGGCCGGAUAAAGGCUCUGGGAAUGUGGCCUUCACUUCGGUGAAGGUGUUAUAGCCCAGGGUGUAAUACGGCCAGCCGGGACUGAGGUCCGCGCUUCGGCUAGGAUGCUGGCGUAAUGGUUGUAAGCGACCCGUCUU
RNAcentral lists this ribosomal RNA (578 nucleotides) under Aureobasidium pullulans. Its description in RNAcentral is "eukaryotic LSU rRNA". It matches the Rfam family "Eukaryotic large subunit ribosomal RNA", at positions 62 to 655 of the family's 3401-position model. Lineage: Eukaryota; Fungi; Ascomycota; Dothideomycetes; Dothideales; Saccotheciaceae. The record is from RNAcentral.